CCUACGGGAGGCAGCAGUGAGGAAUAUUGGUCAAUGGGCGCGAGCCUGAACCAGCCAAGUCGCGUGAGGGAAGACGGUCCUAUGGAUUGUAAACCUCUUUUGUCGGGGAGCAAAAGACGCCACGCGUGGCGUUCCGAGAGUACCCGAAGAAAAAGCAUCGGCCAACUCCGUGCCAGCAGCCGCGGUAAUACGGAGGAUGCGAGCGUUAUCCGGAUUUAGUGGGUUUAAGGGGUGCGCAGGCGGAAGAUCAAGUCAGCGGUAAAAUUGAGAGGCUCAACCUCUUCGUGCCGUUGAAACUGGUUUUCUUGAGUGAGCGAGAAGUAUGCGGAAUGCGUGGUGUAGCGGUGAAAUGCAUAGAUAUCACGCAGAACACCGAUUGCGAAGGCAGCAUACCGGCGCUCAACUGACGCUCAUGCACGAAAGUGUGGGUAUCGAACAGGAUUAGAUACCCGAGUAGUC
This 459-nucleotide ribosomal RNA is filed under the name uncultured bacterium. Its description in RNAcentral is "partial 16S ribosomal RNA". It matches the Rfam family "Bacterial small subunit ribosomal RNA", at positions 338 to 795 of the family's 1533-position model. The record is from RNAcentral.